This 1071-nucleotide long non-coding RNA is filed under the name Homo sapiens (human). Its description in RNAcentral is "HSALNT0354768". Lineage: Eukaryota; Metazoa; Chordata; Mammalia; Primates; Hominidae. The record is from RNAcentral.
CAAAUCCCACACCAAGGAUAAAAUCAGAAAAUAGAGCCAAGGUUUACCAAGAUAAAAAAAAAAAAUCUAGGAAUAAAAGGAAAGUUAGAGACAUAAAUGAAUAAGAGGAACAAAGCCAGAUAUCUUAGAAAGUACAGGGCCUAUCUUUAAACACAUUAUGAGAACAACAGCAAACAACAGAAUAAUAUAUUAAGAUCCUCAAGAAAAGAAUAGAUGAGUCAAGAUUUCAUAUCCAACUAAAAUUACUUUCAAAUAUAAGGGCCACUUUCACUAUUCAAGAACUCUUAAGGAACUUACCAUAGAACAAGCUUUAGACAACCAAAAUGACUGGAGAGACAUCAACUUAAGAACUGUUGAUAAACAGUAAGCAUAUAUUUAACUGUAGAACUAACAUUAAAUGAUGGUUACAAGGGAGGUGGGAGAAGAACAAGUGAAGGAGCCAAGGAGGUAAAGAGAAGCAGGGAGAAAUGUGGAAGCCUGGAAGAAAUAAUUUUUGCACAGAGAUCAAGAAGAAACUCUCAAAACGAACAAAGGAACACUCCCCCAAGUCUCCAUCCAGAUGAAGAAACUGAGUCUCCUUUCCCAGGAUAACAAGUGGAAGAGCUAGGACUCAAACCCAGAGAUGGAGAAAUGGAGAGGCACUCAAAGCACCUCUGCUCCUCACUCGGUAAAGGUGAGUUGCAUUUGCUUUCCAUGUGGACAGACUGAAAUACAAAGGGGUUGGCCACCCACUGGGUUCUGUGUGCAGAACUUCGGCCAGGUAGCAGACUUCAUUCUUGGAGAACAGGUAGUUGAGUAGAACUGGAACUCCCUGUUUCUGUACCCCUGGAAGCUGUCUGACCUCCACCAGUGACACACCAAGGAGAAGGAGGAAGAUACCUAAAAUCCUGUAUGCCUAUGGACAGAGGGGUGAAUUAAGCACAGUCCCAGAUCUUAAGAUGCUUGAUCAGGUGAGAGGAGAUAAGCAUGUAGGUAAUUAUACAACAAUGGAAUAAUGAUAUGAUGCAGAGAGACUGGUGAGUGGAGUUCCAGCAUGAGAGGAUGGGCAGUUGGGUGCUCAGAUAAAGAUGA